RNAcentral lists this ribosomal RNA (497 nucleotides) under uncultured bacterium. Its description in RNAcentral is "partial 16S ribosomal RNA". It matches the Rfam family "Bacterial small subunit ribosomal RNA", at positions 28 to 507 of the family's 1533-position model. The record is from RNAcentral.
GAUGAACGCUGGCGGCGUGCCUAAUACAUGCAAGUCGAGCGAACAGAUGAGGAGCUUGCUCCUCUGACGUUAGCGGCGGACGGGUGAGUAACACGUGGAUAACCUACCUAUAAGACUGGGAUAACUUCGGGAAACCGGAGCUAAUACCGGAUAAUAUAUUGAACCGCAUGGUUCAAUAGUGAAAGACGGUUUUGCUGUCACUUAUAGAUGGAUCCGCGCCGCAUUAGCUAGUUGGUAAGGUAACGGCUUACCAAGGCAACGAUGCGUAGCCGACGUGAGAGGGUGGUCGGCCACACUGGAGCUGAGACACGGUCCAGACUCCUACGGGAGGCAGCAGUAGGGAAUCUGCCGCAAUGGGCGAAAGCCUGACGGAGCAGCGCCACGUGAGUGAUGAAGGUCUUCGGAUCGUAAAACUCUGUUAUUAGGGAAGAACAAAUGUGUAAGUAACUAUGCACGUCUUGACGGUACCUGAUCAGAAAGCCACGGCUAACUACGUG